This 228-nucleotide unclassified non-coding RNA is filed under the name plant metagenome. RNAcentral's name for it is "partial contains small subunit ribosomal RNA, internal transcribed spacer 1, and 5.8S ribosomal RNA". The record is from RNAcentral.
UCUCCGUUGGUGAACCAGCGGAGGGAUCAUUACAGAGUUCCACAACUACCAACCCCUGCGAACCGUACCCCAGUUUGUUCUCGUUGCCUCCUGCCACCGGGCCCCCGGCGCCACCGCCGGGCCCCCCGCCAGCGGCGUCGAGCCCCCUGAACCUUUUUUUCUCAACCAGCUCGUCUGAGCAAACAAACAAAUGAUUCAAAACUUUCAACAACGGAUCUCUUGGUUCUG